Molecule: ribosomal RNA, 429 nt
Filed under: Verrucomicrobiota bacterium
Lineage: Bacteria; Pseudomonadati; Verrucomicrobiota
Description: Verrucomicrobia bacterium partial 16S ribosomal RNA
Rfam family: Bacterial small subunit ribosomal RNA
Source: RNAcentral
UAGGGAAUCUUCCGCAAUGGACGAAAGUCUGACGGAGCAACGCCGCGUGAGUGAAGAAGGAUUUCGGUUCGUAAAACUCUGUUGUUAGGGAAGAAAAAAUGUAUAGUAACUAUAUACAAAAGAGACGGUACCUAACCAGAAAGCCACGGCUAACUACGUGCCAGCAGCCGCGGUAAUACGUAGGUGGCAAGCGUUGUCCGGAAUUAUUGGGCGUAAAGCGCGCGCAGGUGGUUUAGUAAGUCUGAUGUGAAAGCCCACGGCUCAACCGUGGAGGGUCAUUGGAAACUAAUAAACUUGAGUGCAGGAGAUAAAAGUGGAAUUCCUAGUGUAGCGGUGAAAUGCGUAGAGAUAAGGAGGAACACCGGUGGCGAAAGCGGCUUUUUGGCCUGCAACUGACACUGAGGCGCGAAAGCGGGGGGAGCAAACAGG